RNAcentral lists this long non-coding RNA (2738 nucleotides) under Homo sapiens (human). Its description in RNAcentral is "HSALNT0065539". Lineage: Eukaryota; Metazoa; Chordata; Mammalia; Primates; Hominidae. The record is from RNAcentral.
CAGGAGACUCCAACAGCUGGGCAGGCGGCGUCCUUGCCCGUCCUCCACGGGCGAGAUGCGCUGUCCACCUCCGCCCUCCUCUUGCUCCACCUGGCCAGAGGCCUGGGCUGCGCGCUCCCCGCGCUCCUGCGCAGGCUCUACUGGGAGCCCCUCCAGGGCGCAGUCCGGACCUGACGGGCAAGCCCUGACCUGCCUUUCAUCCCGCUGAUGCUCGCGCCCAGCUCCCUGUGAAUACCCACUGAUUGCCCCCGGAGUCUCCCCGUUAGGCCCUCCCGCACCUCUUACCCCUUCCUCCCCUUCCUGGCCUCCCCAGCUCCCUCACCCGCCUUCUAGAAGCAUCCUCCCCCUUCUCACCCACCUCUCUACUCCUCCCUUCCCGACUUCCUCAAUUCCCACCUCCCCCCCAAAUUCCAGUCCUCUCCCUGGGAAAGAGAAAGCGGCCGGGGUCCCACCCUGGCUGUGUGUGGCCCGCGGUGGGGUGGGGCAGCCUGCCAGCCGCCAGGUAGCGCGAAUGGAGCGCGGGGCGCCGCGCGCUGCGGGCGGGUGAAGCCGGAAUCGGGGCGGCGGCUCGGCCCCCGGCCCCCGGCCCCGGGGAGCCCAGAGCGACUAGUCGGGCAGGAAAAGAAUGACGGUGACGUGACCACUCUGACCCCGAGGACUCUCUGGGCUCUGGCGGGCGCUGGGCUCGGCGGAUCUGAGUGCGUAGGAAGGGCGAUGGGCGCUCAGUCCCCGAGGAUCACCUGCGGGACCCUUUGGGGGCACCUGCCGGAGCAGCUGGCCCUGCGACGGGUCCCACCGCGCCCUCAGCAGCAAGGCGGUUCUCCCUUUAUAGAGGUUUUACGUGCGUUUGUGGGGGGUGUUCUCAAAACAAUACAAAUAAGCUUCCAUUGUCACCGAUCAAAAUAGUAAGGGCUUUUUAAAAGGAAACUGUUUAGGGCUGACAGAGCUACAGAGGAAGUGGAGUGAUCCGGGCACAGUCAGGGACGGGGGAGGGGGGCGGAACUGGUCUAGCUGUUUUGGCAAAAUGUAAUAAUACAGAGUUAGAGUCUUUGAAUGCUCACACUGUUUGAUAUUGUGGUUCUAGUAGUGGUCAUGCAUCAGAAGAAAUAAUCCCAAAUAUUCCCCCAAAGCUUUUAUGGACACAGACAUUCUUUGCACUGAAAAAUGAGAAAAAAAAUUAUCUAAAAUUGGAAUCAACUAGUUGGGCACUGAUAAAUACAUUAUGGUGUAUCCACAGUUGUGAUAUCAUUCUGUCAUUGAUAACAUUUCUGAAAAGUUUUCGAUAGUAUAAGGAAAUUUUCUCAUUCUGUAAAAGGCACAAGGUGAGUUUGUAUACACAAGAUAAUCACAAGUAUAUAAACUAAGCAUAGUGGAAAGACUGGAAGAAAUACAUUUUAAAUAGGAAUGGGUGCUUUUUUUUUCUUUUGAAAAAACUUUUUUAUGAACUAUUUCAGAUACAUAUCAAGGUAUAGAGAAGAACUUACCCAUCAAUAAUCAUGGGGAAUGGAGCAACCUCACUGCUGAAGCCCCUUAGGGACCCUCUUCACCACCUUCCUCACCCUCAUCCCUGAGUGCCGCGAUGAACAUUCUGGUCUGUGUCUUCUUGUGCACAUGUGAGUUUCUAUGGAGUGCACCUAGCAUUGGCCACAGACAUUGCAAGGGAUGCCUAACUUCAGUGCUACAAAUUACUGCCCAGUCGUUCUCCAAAGCGAUCUUGCCAGCAGCAGAUGAGUCAUUGUAGUAACACUCCCAGCCCUCAACACUGCCUCUCAUCACGUCAGUUCUUUUCCAGUGUAAUGGGUGUGGUUACUUCUCAUGGUUUAAAUUUGCAUUUCCCUAAUUACCAUGGGGUUAGAGGUCAGGCAUUUGUUCCUAUGUUUAUUGGUAUUUUUUAUACUGUAAAGUCUUGAUCAUAACUUUUUCCUAUUUUUCUAUUGGUUGUUGACAUUUUCUUGUUGGUUUUUAAGAAUUCUUUAUAAAUUUUGUAUCUUAAUCUUUCAUCAGAUGGAUGAGUUGCAAAUAUUGUCAUUCACUCCAUGGCUUAUCUUAUAACUAUUUGUGAUGUCUUUCAAGACACAGAAAAUUUACAUCUGCACAUAUUCUAAUUUACCUCUUUCUUUAAAGUUUGUACUUUGGUUGACAUGGUUAAAGUACCUUUUCCUCUUCCAAGAUAUAAGUUUCCCUACACUUUCUUCUAAAAGUUUUUAAAUUUUGUCGUUUUAUAUUUGGUCUUACAUCUAUCUGGAUUUGAUUCUUUGUAAAGGUGUGGUGGAGAGAUCAUCUUUCUCCUUGGAUAAUAAUUGUCAAAGCAUUUAUUGGACAGCUCAUCCUUUUCCAGUCAUCUGCAAUGCUGGCUUUGCCAUAAAUCAAAUUUCCCAGUAAGUGGUGGUCUGUUUCUGGGUUCUCUAUUUUGUUACAUUGUUCUGUCCUCUAGCAAUACUGCACUCUCACAUACUAUAACUUGAUAAUAAGUCUUGAUUUCUGGAUGAGCAUGUAUUCAUACAUUUUUUUUUCAAGACUAUCUCAACUAUUUGGAGUUCUCUGCAUUUUCAUACAUAUUUUAGAAUUAGCUUGUCAGUUCUAUAAACAUUUUGUUGGGAUUUUGAUUUAAACAAUGACUUCCUAGGUUAAUUUAGGGAAACUGACAUCUUCAUGAUAUUGAGUCUUCCUAUUGAUAACCAUGGAAUAUGUCUCAUUUAUUUAGGUCUUCUUCAAAAUCCUUCAAUAAAGUUUUUCAU